This 433-nucleotide ribosomal RNA is filed under the name uncultured bacterium. RNAcentral describes it as "partial 16S ribosomal RNA". It matches the Rfam family "Bacterial small subunit ribosomal RNA", at positions 29 to 507 of the family's 1533-position model. The record is from RNAcentral.
AACGAACGCUGGCGGCAUGCCUAACACAUGCAAGUCGAACGAAGGCUUCGGCCUUAGUGGCGCACGGGUGCGUAACGCGUGGGAAUCUGCCCUUUGGUUCGGAAUAACAGCUGGAAACGGCUGCUAAUACCGGAUGAUGACGAAAGUCCAAAGAUUUAUCGCCAGAGGAUGAGCCCGCGUUGGAUUAGGUAGUUGGUGGGGUAAAGGCCUACCAAGCCGACGAUCCAUAGCUGGUCUGAGAGGAUGAUCAGCCACACUGGGACUGAGACACGGCCCAGACUCAUACGGGAGGCAGCAGUGGGGAAUAUUGGACAAUGGGCGCAAGCCUGAUACAGCAAUGCCGCGUGAGUGAUGAAGGCCCUAGGGUUGUAAAGCUCUUUUACCCGGGAAGAUAAUGACUGUACCGGGAGAAUAAGCCCCGGCUAACUCCGUG